RNAcentral lists this small nucleolar RNA (150 nucleotides) under Chrysolophus pictus (golden pheasant). The record is from RNAcentral. Lineage: Eukaryota; Metazoa; Chordata; Aves; Galliformes; Phasianidae.
CUUCAGUGAUGAUACGAUGACGAGUCAGAAGGGAUGUCCUUGUGCCAAGCACAGCCUGGUCAGUGCCACGUUCUGUGGUGCUGUACUAAAGGCUGCCUUGGGCAGGAUGUCCUCCUCAUUGGUUGAUUCAGAGGCAUUUGUCUGAGAAGG